This 162-nucleotide ribosomal RNA is filed under the name uncultured bacterium. RNAcentral's name for it is "partial 16S ribosomal RNA". It matches the Rfam family "Bacterial small subunit ribosomal RNA", at positions 1322 to 1500 of the family's 1533-position model. The record is from RNAcentral.
GAAGUCGGAAUCGCUAGUAAUCGCAGAUCAGCAUGUUGCGGUGAAUACGUUCCCGGGUCUUGUACACACCGCCCGUCAAACCAUGAGAGUCACCAACACCCGAAGUCCGCCUUGGCGGCCUAAGGUGGGGAGAUGAUUGGGGUUAAGUCGUAACAAGGUAGC